AGUAGAGCGGCGCACGGGUGAGUAACGCGUGGAUUAUCUACCCAGAUAUUCGGGAUAACGGCGGGAAACUGCCGCUAAUACCGGAUACGCUCCAAUUUCGGUUGGGGGAAAGGCGGCCUCUGCUUGCAAGCUGUCGUAUCUGGAUGAGUCCGCGUCCCAUUAGCUUGUUGGUGGGGUAAUGGCCUACCAAGGCGACGAUGGGUAGCUGGUCUGAGAGGAUGAUCAGCCACACUGGAACUGAAACACGGUCCAGACUCCUACGGGAGGCAGCAGUGGGGAAUAUUGCGCAAUGGGGGAAACCCUGACGCAGCGACGCCGUGUGAGGGAAGAAGGCUUUCGGGUCGUAAACCUCUGUCGGGAGGGAAGAACCUUCCAGGUCUGAACAAGGCUUGGAACUGACGGUACCUCCAAAGGAAGCACCGGCUAACUCCGUGCCAGCAGNCGCGGUAAUACGGAGGGUGCAAGCGUUAAUCGGAAUCACUGGGCGUAAAGCUCGC
This 497-nucleotide ribosomal RNA is filed under the name Desulfovibrionales bacterium LSR-S3B7. Its description in RNAcentral is "bacterial SSU rRNA". It matches the Rfam family "Bacterial small subunit ribosomal RNA", at positions 89 to 570 of the family's 1533-position model. Lineage: Bacteria; Pseudomonadati; Thermodesulfobacteriota; Desulfovibrionia; Desulfovibrionales. The record is from RNAcentral.